UGCAAGUCGAGCGCCCCGCAAGGGGAGCGGCAGACGGGUGAGUAACGCGUGGGAAUCUACCCAUCUCUACGGAAUAACGCAUGGAAACGUGUGCUAAUACCGUAUACGUCCUUCGGGAGAAAGAUUUAUCGGAGAUGGAUGAGCCCGCGUUGGAUUAGCUAGUUGGUGGGGUAAAGGCCUACCAAGGCGACGAUCCAUAGCUGGUCUGAGAGGAUGAUCAGCCACACUGGGACUGAGACACGGCCCAGACUCCUACGGGAGGCAGCAGUGGGGAAUAUUGGACAAUGGGCGCAAGCCUGAUCCAGCCAUGCCGCGUGAGUGAUGAAGGCCCUAGGGUUGUAAAGCUCUUUCACCGGUGAAGAUAAUGACGGUAACCGGAGAAGAAGCCCCGGCUAACUUCGUGCCAGCCGCCGCGGUAAUUCA
This 423-nucleotide ribosomal RNA is filed under the name uncultured Phyllobacterium sp. Its description in RNAcentral is "bacterial SSU rRNA". It matches the Rfam family "Bacterial small subunit ribosomal RNA", at positions 56 to 527 of the family's 1533-position model. The record is from RNAcentral. Lineage: Bacteria; Pseudomonadati; Pseudomonadota; Alphaproteobacteria; Hyphomicrobiales; Phyllobacteriaceae.